UCUUUAAGUACCGCAUUAUCGGCUCCUGCUCCAGGAUAUGAGGAUAAAGCUGACAUUAGGCGCAAGACAGUCGGUUCAUCCUCUGAUAACUUCAAAACUGAAACAGCUUCUGUUCAAGAAUCUAUACCCAGUGAAAACAAAGGCUUUAAAAUGCUUGCUAAGAUGGGCUGGAACAAAGGACAAGCUCUGGGAAAAGAAGAAAAAUCAGAUGCCAUCACAGAACCGAUUCUGAUACAACAGCGUCCCGCUAAGGCUGGUUUGGGGGCAGAGGGCUCUGCGCCGACUAAGUUGUUGGAUCCCAAGGAAGAGAAGAAACAGGAAUUGUGGCGUAAAACACAGCAAAGGUUCAAGAAGCUGAAGUAGUCCCUCUUCUCUCUCUCAAACGAUCACGUUCCUGUGGCUGUGAAUGAUUACUGGUCAAAUUUGCUGUUCAUCUCGCCUAUUGGGCUGUCCGUGGUGUUCCUAUGCUCGUCUUGCAGAUGUUCUAAAAUACCGAUGACGCCGCUGAAAGAAUUUUCCUUCUGCCGGACUCGGUUUUGAUAAAUUGCAUAACCGCUCAGAAUUUAGUUUUAUUCAAUCAAUUGUUAUACUUCGUGUAGUUUUAGUUCCAAAUUUUAACGAGAUGGCUGAAGUCUGCAUCGGAAACAGGAGAAAACCCACAAUUUUUUUAAAGAGUUUUACGCUAUACUGUCAUUCUUCUUCAUAUCAGUUCUUCAGCGCAAGAAAAUUAGAAAAUCCUUUCAAGUUCAUCGACUGAUUACUGAAUUUUUCAUGUAUUCUUUGCGUAUCUACCGAACAUAUAUCGUCGGUUUUUUUUUAAUUGAAAAGUCAUCCGUUGUUUCUAAAAUUAUGUCAUGCACAGGAAAAAGAAGUAAGUCCUCCUGCAAAGGAAAGUUUAUAGGAGGUUUUUUUUCUUAAAAAAAAAAAAAAAAAAAAAAAAAAAAAAAAAAAAAAAAAAAAAAAAAUUGUAUUGCCUUCUCUGUUUGGGCCUUAAACCCUUGCAUUAGGAUAUACCGAUCCUUACUCUGUCGUGCUAAGGAAAAACGCCGUUUAAGCCUUUCGGCGUUGCCAAAUUUCCUUUAAUAAAUCACGAAUUUUUGAGAAAAUUUGUAAACGUUUUUCCUCCAAUUUUUUAGAUAAUUUAGUUCGCAAUUUCACCUAAAUUUCCUAAAAAUUACAAGGAAAAAUAUCCUUAGCUUUCUUCGAAAAUGAACAUUUUAUCGAAGGAAAUUUGGCACCUCUUGAAUGGUUAUACGGUGUUUUUCACUAGCACGGCAGUACUGUCGAGGUGACUCGCGUUUGAUUGAACCGCAGUUUUCUACCUCGUAGUUUGUUCCGUUCUUUCACGUCAAAUUUGUAUUCUCCCUUUUUCUUUUCUUUUAUUUUCUUUCUUUCUUCUUUCUUUUUUU
This 1409-nucleotide long non-coding RNA is filed under the name Bemisia tabaci. RNAcentral's name for it is "lncRNA ENSSSA1UGG002883". Lineage: Eukaryota; Metazoa; Arthropoda; Insecta; Hemiptera; Aleyrodidae. The record is from RNAcentral.